Molecule: unclassified non-coding RNA, 183 nt
Filed under: uncultured fungus
Lineage: Eukaryota; Fungi
Description: partial contains 18S rRNA, ITS1, 5.8S rRNA, ITS2 and 28S rRNA
Source: RNAcentral
AAGGAUCAUUAACAAAUGCAACGUUUGUUCAAACCCACACUGCGUAUCCGUACCUGUUGCUUCCCUGGGGUGACCCAGGGGAGGUAGCAAUAAACUCUGCCUUCUAUGAGGUUGGUCUGAACAUGAUUAUAUUUUUUUUCGUUACAAACGUUAAAACUUUCAACAACGGAUCUCUUGGUUCUC